Molecule: ribosomal RNA, 496 nt
Filed under: uncultured bacterium
Lineage: Bacteria
Description: partial 16S ribosomal RNA
Rfam family: Bacterial small subunit ribosomal RNA
Source: RNAcentral
AUGCACGCUGGCGGCGUGCCUCAUCCCUGCCAGUCGAGCGAACAGACGAGGAGCUUGCUCCUCUGACGUUAGCGGCGGACGGGUGAGUAACACGUGGAUAACCUACCUAUAAGACUGGGAUAACUUCGGGAAACCGGAGCUAAUACCGGAUAAUAUAUUGAACCGCAUGGUUCAAUAGUGAAAGACGGUUUUGCUGUCACUUAUAGAUGGAUCCGCGCCGCAUUAGCUAGUUGGUAAGGUAACGGCUUACCAAGGCAACGAUGCGUAGCCGACCUGAGAGGGUGAUCGGCCACACUGGAACUGAGACACGGUCCAGACUCCUACGGGAGGCAGCAGUAGGGAAUCUUCCGCAAUGGGCGAAAGCCUGACGGAGCAACGCCGCGUGAGUGAUGAAGGUCUUCGGAUCGUAAAACUCUGUUAUUAGGGAAGAACAAAUGUGUAAGUAACUAUGCACGUCUUGACGGUAUCUAAUCAGAAAGCCACGGCUAACUACGUG